UGCCCUAGUACGGCGAGUGAAGCGGCAACAGCUCAAAUUUGAAAUCUGGCUCUCGGGCCCGAGUUGUAAUUUGUAGAGGAUACUUUUGAUGCGGUGCCUUCCGAGUUCCCUGGAACGGGACGCCAUAGAGGGUGAGAGCCCCGUCUGGUUGGAUGCCAAAUCUCUGUAAAGUUCCUUCGACGAGUCGAGUAGUUUGGGAAUGCUGCUCUAAAUGGGAGGUAUAUGUCUUCUAAAGCUAAAUACCGGCCAGAGACCGAUAGCGCACAAGUAGAGUGAUCGAAAGAUGAAAAGCACUUUGAAAAGAGAGUUAAAAAGUACGUGAAAUUGUUGAAAGGGAAGCGUUUAUGACCAGACUUGGGCUUGGUUAAUCAUCUGGGGUUCUCCCCAGUGCACUUUUCCAGUCCAGGCCAGCAUCAGUUUUCGCCGGGGGAUAAAGACUUCGGGAAUGUGGCUCUCUUCGGGGAGUGUUAUAGCCCGUUGUGUAAUACCCUGGCGGGGACUGAGGUUCGCGCAUCUGCAAGGAUGCUGGCGUAAUGGUCAUCAACGACCCGUCUUGAAACACGGACCAAGGAGUCGUCUUCGUAUGCGAGUGUUCGGGUGUCAAACCCCUACGCGUAAUGAAAGUGAACGCAGGUGAGAGCUUCGGCGCAUCAUCGACCGAUCCUGAUGUUCUCGGAUGGAUUUGAGUAAGAGCAUACGGGGCCGGACCCGAAAGAAGGUGAACUAUGCCUGUAUAGGGUGAAGCCAGAGGAAACUCUGGUGGAGGCUCGCAGCGGUUCUGACGUGCAAAUCGAUCGUCAAAUAUGGGCAUG
This 812-nucleotide ribosomal RNA is filed under the name Fusarium verticillioides. RNAcentral describes it as "eukaryotic LSU rRNA". It matches the Rfam family "Eukaryotic large subunit ribosomal RNA", at positions 76 to 919 of the family's 3401-position model. The record is from RNAcentral. Lineage: Eukaryota; Fungi; Ascomycota; Sordariomycetes; Hypocreales; Nectriaceae.